This is a long non-coding RNA of Capsicum annuum, 477 nucleotides long. RefSeq lists it as uncharacterized. The record is from RefSeq and is a predicted model, not a curated record. NCBI's taxonomy places the organism in Eukaryota, Viridiplantae, Streptophyta, Magnoliopsida, Solanales, Solanaceae. The transcript has 3 exons.
UAUUGGGUGCUUGAAGGUGCAGAGAAGGUUGUUGGAUGGGCGUUGAGCCAUCAUUUGAUGCGAAACACUCAAGCGGAUGUUGACAUGAGGCUUGUCGUAUCUCCAGUUGGUAUGGGUUGGAACUCUUACAAGCAAAGCAAAAUGAUACCAAGAGUCUGAAGAAGUCACUCAAGGAUGUUGAGACAGACAAUGAGUUUGAGAAGGCACUUAUGGCUGAUGUCAUUCCCCCCAGUGAUAUUGGGGUGACAUUUGAUGAUAUCGGUGCACUUGAAAGUGUCAAGGAUACAUUAAAAGAGCUGAUCAUGCUUCCAUUACAAAGACCCGAAAUUUUCUCCAAGAGUCAACUAACCAAGGUUUACAUCUGCAAUUUAUCCAUAUUUUGCUCGUCUAAGUAGAUUAGCUUGUAUAAAAGUUUGGAAGUAUUUGACCUUUUUUUUCAAGGAUCAAUUACUCCAGCUUUGUUUUUAUCCAUUUGUU